Molecule: ribosomal RNA, 541 nt
Filed under: Oenopota sp. NP-2011
Lineage: Eukaryota; Metazoa; Mollusca; Gastropoda; Neogastropoda; Conidae
Description: partial 12S ribosomal RNA
Source: RNAcentral
GACCAAGAAACUAAGUUAUAUUUUUUGGUAAAAAGAUAGUUAGACAAUAAAUAAAGUUUUUAAAUUAUUUAUAAAAAGGUAAAAUUUGAUUAUAAAUUUUAAUUCUUAUAAAAACUAAAAAGUUGAAUCUAUGACAUCUUAGAAAUAAACUGGGAUUGGAUACCCCACUAUUCUUAGAUAUAAACUAAAUAUAUUAAAUUUACCAGAGUACUACGAAUAUUGUAUUUAAAACUCAAAGAACUUGGCGGUGCUUUAGACCUCUUAGGGGAACCUGUCUCAUAAUCGACAAUCCACGUUAGACCUGACCUAUUUUUGUAGUCAGCUUGUAUACCGUUGUCGUCGGGUAACUUCUUAAAAAAUUAAAGUUAGCUAGAAAAUAAUAAAUUUAUACGUCAAAUCAAGGUGCAGCUUAUAAAAAGGUGAGGAUGGGUUACAAUUAAAAAUUAUAAUUACGGAUCUUUGAAUGAAAACUCAAAGUUAAGGAGGACUUAAAAGUAAAUCUUAAUUAUAUAAAUUGCUUGAAUAAGGCUCUGAAGCGCGU